CAUGCAUGCCUGGUACCCAGGGAUAUCAAAAGAGGAUGUUGGACACUCUGGAACUGGAGUUAUAGCCAGUUGUGAGCCGCCAUGCAGCUGCUGGAAACCAAAUCCAGGUCCUCUGCAAGACCAGCAAAUGUUCUUAACCACUAAGGCAUCUCUCCAGCCCCUACUAUAUAAUUUUUAUACAUUCUUUUAUUUGAAAAGAAUGUUACCCAAACAUAGGAAGCUAUUUGUUGUUUCAAUAUGCUGUAUCAUCUUUUUUUCUUUAAAGAUUUUAUUUAUUUAUUAUGUACACAACAUUCUGCUUCCAUGUAUAUCUGCACACCAGAAGAGGGCACCAGCUCUCAUAAUGGAUGGUUGUGAGCCACCAUGUGGUUGCUUGGAAUUGAACUCAGGACUCCUGGAAGAGUAGUCAGUGCUCUUAACCUCUCCAGCCCCCUGCUGUAUCAUCUUAAGUCUUUUCUUGGACACCUACCGAGGACUCAUCGGCACACCAAUGUACUUGAAAGGAGGUUUGGGGAUUCAAUCAGUUCCGAAGUCCUGGGUUCAGUUUAGUCCCACACUAAGAGAAAAAUAAAAAUUAAGAAGCAAAAAUGCAUAAUGUUUUCCCCCAUAAGCAGAACACAGGAAUAUCCACAGCUACUACCAAGUAUGAAUCAUUUUAUCCACUUCCGCUAGCCCAGAAAGAUCAUCCUAUCUCUUCCUUAGUAUCAGGAGACCGAGAGUUAUGUCCUGGCUCUCUGCCUGCGGUCAUAAGUUGAUUUUAUCCAGAAAACUUUAAAAGCUUUUGCUUUGUUUUGAAACCAUAACAACGGAGACAGUGUGAUCUUUGCAAAGAUUUGGAGCUUAAAGAACCUUGAAGAUAAUUUUAGUCCAGAUAGAGAACUUAGGAGGGCAAGAAGAGAAGGGUUUGUUUUUGUUUUCUCUUUUUCUACUGCAUUUUGAUGGGACUACAAAAUACUAGUCUAGGUCCUUGGAGUCAGAGAACAAUGAAAAGGAAGUUAAGGCCUACCAGGCUGUGAGUUGAGCCAACCGUGAGUCUGACAGUUGCUGUCAGUGGUCCUGAUCCUGCCCAGCCAAUGAGGGGUGACUACCCGAUCCUGCGUGAGGCCCUAGCAACAGGAGCUGUCAUCGGUCCUGAUUGUGCCUAGCCAAUGAAGGGCGACUAGGAAAUGCCAAUGGAUCAGAACAUCUGGGUGCAGGGAGAGUAUAUAAGUUU
Molecule: long non-coding RNA, 1213 nt
Filed under: Cricetulus griseus (Chinese hamster)
Lineage: Eukaryota; Metazoa; Chordata; Mammalia; Rodentia; Cricetidae
Description: lncRNA (ENSCGRG00015042642.1)
Source: RNAcentral